UGUUUCCUACGGGGCGCAGCAGUGAGGAAUAUUGGUCAAUGGACGAGAGUCUGAAUCAGCCACGUAGCGUGAAGGAUGACUGCCCUAUGGGUUGUAAACUUCUUUUAUAUGGGAAUAAAAUGUUCCACGUGUGGGAUUUUGUAUGUACCAUAUGAAUAAGGAUCGGCUAACUCCGUGCCAGCAGCCGCGGUAAUACGGAGGAUCCGAGCGUUAUCCGGAUUUAUUGGGUUUAAAGGGAGCGUAGGUGGAUUGUUAAGUCAGUUGUGAAAGUUUGCGGCUCGACUGUAAAAUUGCAGUUGAAACUG
This 305-nucleotide ribosomal RNA is filed under the name uncultured bacterium. RNAcentral's name for it is "bacterial SSU rRNA". It matches the Rfam family "Bacterial small subunit ribosomal RNA", at positions 333 to 635 of the family's 1533-position model. The record is from RNAcentral.